CGGUUGAUCCCGCCAGACCCCACUGCUAUCGGGAUAGGACUAAGACAUGCUAGUCGCGUGCCUCAGCUAAAACGAGGCACGGCGCACAGCUCAGUAGCACGUGGCUAAUCUGCCCUUGGGACGAGAAUACCCCCGGGAAACUGGGGCUAAUUCGCGAUAGGCGAAGAACACUGGAAUGUGUCUUCACCUAAAAGACCCUACGUUAUGCUCGUAGAAGUCGCCUAAGGAUGAGGCCGCGACCGAUCAGGUUGUUGGUGAGGUAAUGGCUCACCAAGCCUUUUACCGGUGCGGGCCGUGAGAGCGGGAGCCCGGAGAUGGGUACUGAGACAAGGACCCAGGCCCUACGGGGCGCAGCAGUCGCGAAACCUUUGCAAUACACGAAAGUGUGACAGGGCUAUCCCGAGUGCCAUCCGCUGAGGAAGGCUUUUACCCAGUCUAGAAAGCUGGGGGAAUAAGGAGAGGGCAAGUCUGGUGUCAGCCGCCGCGGUAAUACCAGCUCUUCGAGUGGUGUGGAUGUUUAUUGGGCCUAAAGCAUCCGUAGCUGGCUAGGUAAGUCCCUUGUAAAAUCCACCGAAUUAAUCGUUGGAUCGCGGGGGAUACUGCUUGGCUAGGGGACGAGAGAGGCAGACGGUAUUUUCGGGGUAGGGGUGAAAUCCUAUAAUCCCGGGAAGACCACCAGUGGCGAAGGCUGUCUGCUAGAACGCGCCCGACGGUGAGGGAUGAGAGCUGGGGGAGCGAACCGGAUUAGAUACCCGGGUAGUCCCAGCUGUAAACGAUGCAGACUAGGUGUUUGGACGGCCACGUGCCGUUCUAGUGCCGCAGGGAAGCUGUUAAGUCUGCCGCCUGGGGAGUACGAUCGCAAGAUUGAAACUUAAAGGAAUUGGCGGGGGAGCACCACAAGGGGUGAAGCUUGCGGUUUAAAUGGAGUCAACGCCGG
This 937-nucleotide ribosomal RNA is filed under the name uncultured archaeon. RNAcentral describes it as "bacterial SSU rRNA". It matches the Rfam family "Archaeal small subunit ribosomal RNA", at positions 5 to 921 of the family's 1478-position model. The record is from RNAcentral.